ACGCUCGACACCUACGGGAGGCAGCAGUUGGGAAUAUUGGACAAUGGAGGAAACUCUGAUCCAGUGACGCCGCGUGAAGGAAGAAGGUCUUCGGAUUGUAAACUUAUUUUGUCAGGGAAGAAAAAUGACUGUACCUGAAGAAAAAGCACCGGCUAACUACGUGCCAGCAGCUGCGGUAAUCUGAGCGGGCUGGCAAGGC
RNAcentral lists this ribosomal RNA (199 nucleotides) under uncultured bacterium. Its description in RNAcentral is "partial 16S ribosomal RNA". It matches the Rfam family "Bacterial small subunit ribosomal RNA", at positions 328 to 539 of the family's 1533-position model. The record is from RNAcentral.